GGUUGGAUGGUGUAACGGUAGCACAUGAGAUUCUGAUUCUCGUAACCUGGGUUCGACUCCCAGUCCGACCU
This is a non-coding RNA of Kalaharituber pfeilii, 71 nucleotides long. The record is from the annotation of a GenBank genome assembly. Lineage: Eukaryota; Fungi; Ascomycota; Pezizomycetes; Pezizales; Pezizaceae.